UGCUGGAAGGAUGUUUGAAGUAGAGCAGGUACUGAAAAAUGUUUUGUUUGAAAUGGGAUAGGGCAUGUGCCUGAAGCACGUGACUUGUCUUGACAUGAUUUACUUCUGGUUGUCUCUCAUUCUCUUCUUUCUUCUUCUUCUUCAAGACCCAAACCCGUGGGUAUUGUGCAUCUGUACAUAAGUCAUAUUUUGGAAGCUCGGAUCAAAAAACUUCCUUGACGAAAGUUGCUCAUCUGCUCGAGUACUAUAGCCUGUAAAAGUUUCUGAAUUCUUUGAAUUUUUUUGAUGCCUCAAAGCUGGUCUGCAACUUCUGUGUUCAUCCAUGGCUGGUGUAUACAUCUCUGGCACAGGCAGGGGAGGGUGCCGAAAGCCUGCGUUGUAUCCAUUGUCGCUGGAAGCUUCGAGUGUACCAAUUUCGCAACUUGGCAAUUUGGAUUUCUAUCUCGAUUUCUCAGUAAAUAGUUCUGCUCCUUCACUGGAAUCUUGAGUCUUUCCUUUGGCUUUGUAGGCAUAGACAUAGACUGGUGUUUGGCCUAGGCUUGUUUUUCUUGUGAACACACGCUUGAUUAAAUCUGGACUUUUCUCCGAUCUUGUGGAAACAGAAAUUGACAGAAUGCAUGCUCUGCAAUGCUUGAAUCUUUUUGUAUUUUGAGGGAGAAUUUGCUUGUCAUCGGAAUUGCUUGAGAAUUUUGCUUGCCAUGGAUAAAUUGCAUGCUGCUUUGAUAUUUGCUUAAGCCUUUUCUUUGGCGUGAGCUUGACUUGCCAUGCUUGGCGUCUACUUUGCGUGUGCUACGUUCUUGACCACCUUCUUUGAUUGAACUAUAUGCAUUACGAGCGUAUGCUUGUAAUUUGUGAAAGGGUCUGCUGGAAUGACUGAUUGAGCAUGAAAUGGGAACUUUGCUUGUCAUAAGCUCGAGUAAUAGAUUGCAUGAUGCUUCAAAAUAUUUUUUUUUUUGUUUAUGCAUUUCGCUUGGCAUGAGAUGGCUUGCUUUGCUUGGCCUGUGAAGUUCAUAUAGCUUGCAUGCUAGCGUGGAGAUUUCUUGGCUUUAACACAGAGAACCUGCUUCAUACUUUGCCCUUUUACAGCAUAUUCCUCGUUGGUAAUUCUUGCAGGGACUCACAUAAUAAGUCCCAAUGACCUUUGUGAUGAGUGAUGGCCUAUUUCCCCUUGCACGACGGGUUGCAGAAUGGACAACUACCUUCAUAACUUAGAAACACUUACCAAGACUCGAUCAUAAGCACUGAGUAAGCUUAGGAAGCUACUCUCAUUUCCAGGUGUUGUAUAGAAGAAAGACAUGUUUCCGGCGGCCACCUUAUUUUUUAAUACCCUUGCAGCAUCACUAAGGGCUGGCCACAGUGGUUCGAUCGCGAGUUGACAGCCCCGACUACCAAAGAUGUUUUGUCAAGGAACCAUUGUUUUUGACCUUACAGCAGCGUGCUGAAAGGGCUUAAGCGUGUGUCUUAUUAGGAUUUUGCAUGGACUUCCGGCUGAAUACUUAGAAGAAGCACACAUUAAUUUAUUUAUUUUUUUAAGCACGAGCUGCUUGUAACAUGAAGAUGUAUGCAUGAUCCCCUUAAGCAAGAGUUGUCGUUAAUGCGUUAAGCCUUCAGGAACAUGAAUUGGAGAGCCAGUGCCGUAAGCUAUGAGACCUUCUCCUUGACAAAUGAGCGACUGAGAGUGGCGCUUGGUGCAUGGUGGAAACAUCGAAAGGAUCAUUUCAUAGCGCUUCUUCUAUUCUGUUUUAGUUAUGCACCGUGAUCUAAUUGAGGCAGCAUUUCUUUGUUGUAGGGGCUGGCUGGCUCAGUGUGUAGUAGCUUUUCCUUUUGAAACUGCAGGGUGUAUCGAUCUUUAGCAUAGUUGACUGCAUUUGGGCCCGAGUUGUACCCCCUUUUUUUUUGAGAGCCUAAAGCUCAUGUUGUAGGGAACUUGGAACACAACAUUGUUGCAUACUUUCUGUCAGAACUUUUGAUGUAGAAUGCUUGAGAUAUUGAGCUUCGGCCUGUUUUGUA
RNA transcript from Prunus persica (peach), 2010 nucleotides. RefSeq lists it as uncharacterized. Lineage: Eukaryota; Viridiplantae; Streptophyta; Magnoliopsida; Rosales; Rosaceae. The record is from RefSeq and is a predicted model, not a curated record. The transcript is spliced from 3 exons.